Molecule: long non-coding RNA, 3772 nt
Organism: Zingiber officinale
Lineage: Eukaryota; Viridiplantae; Streptophyta; Magnoliopsida; Zingiberales; Zingiberaceae
Exons: 3
Source: RefSeq, a predicted model, not a curated record
GUCUUCCCUCGUGACAUCCCUUCCUCGCCGAUUCUGCUUUCUUCUUCUCCUCUUAUCUCGCUAACUCCUGUUUAGAUAUUCUCUUUAUUCUUGCUCGCAACUGCUUUCUUGCUGCUUGUAUCUCACCGGCUUCACUCCUCGCUGACUUCGUCUAUUGCUCUCUCUCAAAAAAGAUUUUAGUAUGUGGAUCAAUGGAUGUGAAUUUGUCUCCUUCCCUUUUUGCAACAACUACGCCCUCCUCCUUCCUCACUCCGCACUCCGCAACAAGCAAGGAACCUGUAUCAAAUUCAGUGUUAAGGAAGGAGCUAUGGCUUCUAACCCGAUUAUGGAACACAUUAAAGUGCAUUGAUAGUGAACCAAUAGCUUAUCAAGUAAGAUUUCUAAGACCAAUUUGAUCUACUUGUUUAGCAGCCUGCUUGUUGGCUUUGCAUUUUAAGUUUAGUAGAUUUUUUUUUAUGGUUAUACUUACCUUUUGAUAGCUUCUUGCUUGAUUUUAAACAGUUCUAGAUAGGUUUUCUUUAUAAGUUAUCAGAUUCAGGAAUUUGAUAGAGUGAGUUACUGCAGCAGAGAGCAGUAAAGUUUAUAUGUAACAAAGGUAUGACCUUCUGUUGUGCACCGAGAGUCCAAUUUACCUAGCAAUAUUGAGUAUUGUUACAUUAAAAUUUUCAAAAUUUUGAAGGUUGUGCCAUUUUGCUCUGUUGUCUUUCACCUUGUUUAUGCAUUUUGAUUUAUUGUAUCAACAAUACUGGUAAAUGACAUCAUCCCAUGACCCAUAUCAAAAAUUGUUAUGUGGAUAUUAAAUAUAUUAAUUUCUCUACCUUGAGAAACUUGACUAAACUCAAUUACUGUUAUUUAUGUUAUCAGUUUGUUUUCAACAAUGAAGUUUUUAGUUGUGAGUUGAACGUCUCAUACUUGAAGAUCACAUAUUCUGAGGAAAAGCAUGUGCACUUAUAGUUCUAAGUAACUUUUGGAAUUGGAGUAGUCCUUUUAUGUAUUAGAUGGUUCAAAUUUUUUUUUUAAAUAUCUGUCUAGAUUUAAGUUGGUUUAUUAGUUCUAGCUAUAUUUUGAACAAAGUUCUUGUAGAUUUUCUAAGGGAAGGAUAAUCCAAUCACCAUAGAUACAACGUAUAAUAAUUGUUUUCGUUACUUAAUAUGUGGCCCUCCCAAACCUAAAAUCCUGGAUCCACCCCUGCUCAUAAUAAUCAAAAACCUUUGAAGUUUUCACCACAUGUAUGAACUCGAUCAUGUUAAAAGAAUAUUAGAAACCUUACUAUGUAUACUGGAGCAUGGAGAUUAUAAUAUUGCUUAUACCAUGUGGAUUGAUGAGCAAAAUAAGCAGUAUCAUGUGAAAACACUCAUUAACAUCCAUGCAGUUUAUAUACAACCUAAGCUAAUAUUGCAUCCUGAAUAAGAUUAUUUGAUUUUGAUCUUCGUUUUGAACAAAGUGUAAUAAGAUUAUUUGGUUCGUAGUGUACUAUUGUUUUUGGCAAUUUUCUGCAAAGAGUUAAACUUGAUUUUGUAUUCGAUCUUAAAGAUAAAUUGAUUCAAUUUUUGGCUUUAUACCUUUUACUAUUGUUUACUGCUGUUAGUAGUGAAUAUAGAUUUUUUCUAUCGUGAGUUUUUGUUGUACUGUUGUUCACAAAUGUUUCACUAUUGCCUUUAAUUAUAUUGGUUACCGUAUAGUUCAAGUGCAUGUGCUUAUCUGUGUGCAUAUGUUCUUUGCUAUUUGUGUACAACUAUGAGAACAUCUAAUAUAUGCUUGUGCAAGAUGAGAUGUUGCAUUUGCCUUUGUAUAUUGCAAAUUGUGUUUACUGCAGAAAUUGUCUCAAGAUGAGAUGUUACUGCAGAAGCUGUAGAAAUCGUACUGCAGAAAUUGUGCAAGAUAUUAGAUGCACAAUAUCUUGCAGAAAUGUGCAUCUCAUCUUUGCAGAAAUCGUACUGCAGAAAUUGGGCAAGAUAUUAGAUGCACAAUAUCUUGCAGAAAUGUACAUCUCAUCUUUGCAGAAAUUGUUACUGCAGAAAUUGUGCAAGUUAUUAGAUGCACAAUAUCUUGUAGAAAUGUACAUAUCAUCUUUGCAGAAAUUGUUACUGCAGAAAUUGUGCAAGAUAUUAGAUGCAGCUUGUGCAAGAUGAGAUGUUACUGCAGAAAUUGUGUUUACUGUAGAAAUUAUGUUACUACUUUUGUCUUUGCUGAAUUCUGCUAUUGUUACUGCAGAAAUUGUGUUUACAUUCUGUUACUGCUAUUGCUAAUGUUGUUUGUAUUAUUGCUAGUGUUUACUGCUAUUGCUAAUCUUGCAAAAAUGUUGUUUGCAUAGUGUAAUCUGUACUACAUAAUGCUGUUCACUGCAGAAAUUUAUUGUUCACUCCUAUUGUCUUAGCUGAAUUUUGCAGAAAUUUUAUUUACUAAAUUUUAAUUGUUAAGCCUAAUCCCUAGCCCAAUUUGGCCAAAUUGCAAGCUCUUCCUGACUCGAUCUCCUUCAGUCAACUACUUUUCUAAUCAAGGAGCAAUUUAGUUUAAAGGACUAGUAGACUUUUGUAUUUGAAUUUUUUUUUGGUGCCCAUUUAGCCCGUUCAAUUGGGUUUUAGUGGUUUAAAUGAGCAUGAACUUGUUUGUACGAAAUGGUAGAUUGUGCAUCACAAGUAUAGGAUGGAUUUGCAAUUACAUACAUAGGUGUAGCUGUUUCAUGCCUGUUUGACUUAAUCUGAUAGAUAUUGUGAUUUUAUUGGGCAUUGCAUUGUUGGAGCAUGACUCAUGCACUUCCAAACAUUUUAUUUGUGAAAGAUUGAAUUGAUUAUUCUAGAGAUUCAACUUGUCUGUGUGAAGUAUGUGCUAGAUUCAUCAACAACUAUUUCUAGCUAUCACUUAUCUCUAUACUUGUUGAAUCCUGAUAUCUGCUUCCUUCACAACUAAAUAUGUAUACAAGCAUCCUCCUGGUGUUAUCUGACUAUUGUAUGCCAUUCCAUUUACUUGCAACAGACCUGUACCUCUAAGUACUUUUCCUGUUGUCAUUUUUCUCAACUAUUGUGGCAGGUAGGUUCCUUUCUCUCAAAAUGCAAAUUGUGAUGGCCGAUAUGGUUGUCCUUGUAUCCUUUUGAACUCCUUUGAGUUUGUAUGUUUCGACUAAUAUGACUCUUGUUGCCACUAUAUACUUUGCCCAGAAACAAAGCCAAGUUUGACACUCUUUUUGUUGCGUUUGUUGUUGUUUAUUGAAUUUUACUGCUGUUGUUUACUGUGAUGUUUACUAAAUUUUAUUUUAUUUACAGAAAUUUGUCACGUUUGUUAUUUUCUACAAAAAAUUUAUUUGCAUAGUGUAAUCUGUACUGCAUAGUGUUUAUUGUUGUUCACUUCAGAAAUUUGUUGUUCAUUUCAGAAAUUUUGUAUACUAAAUUUUAUUUGUUGUUUACUAUAAUUAUCUUUUGUUGAACUUUUUCUUGUAUUUUCUUUUGCUGAAUUUUUUAUUUAUGUGAUGCAGGAUGUCAAAUAGAGGGACAAAAGAUAUUGGUUCCAGCAAAGGAAGAUCAAGGGGGAGAGGUCGACAAAGAGAAGAAAAACUUAUGGAGGAAGAUAGACAAAGAGAAGAAAAUCUCAAAGAGAUGGUUCGUAAGAUGAUUCAAGAGGCGGGAUAUACAAAUCAUUUGUAUCCAGGAGGAUCUAGUCCUCGUGAGCGUCGCGAUAAACGAAAUAAAAAUUAGAUUUAGUUAGAUAAUAUGAAUAUUUGGAUGAUGUGAUAUUUUUGGAUUAAACACUAAUUAUUUCAAAUAUUUUUAAUUUA